ACCCGCUGAACUUAAGCAUAUCAAUAAGCGGAGGAAAAGAAACCAACAGGGAUUGCCCUAGUAACGGCGAGUGAAGCGGCAACAGCUCAAAUUUGAAAUCUGGCGUCUUUGGCGUCCGAGUUGUAAUUUGCAGAGGGCGCUUUGGCAUUGGCAGCGGUCCAAGUUCCUUGGAACAGGACGUCACAGAGGGUGAGAAUCCCGUACGUGGUCGCUAGCCUUUACCGUGUAAAGCCCCUUCGACGAGUCGAGUUGUUUGGGAAUGCAGCUCUAAAUGGGAGGUAAAUUUCUUCUAAAGCUAAAUACUGGCCAGAGACCGAUAGCGCACAAGUAGAGUGAUCGAAAGAUGAAAAGCACUUUGGAAAGAGAGUUAAAAAGCACGUGAAAUUGUUGAAAGGGAAGCGCUUGCAGCCAGACUUGCCUGUAGUUGCUCAUCCGGGUUUUUACCCGGUGCACUCUUCUAUAGGCAGGCCAGCAUCAGUUUGGGCGGUUGGAUAAAGGUCUCUGUCACGUACCUCCUCUCGGGGAGAACUUAUAGGGGAGACGUAAUGCAACCAGCCUGGACUGAGGUCCGCGCAUCUGCUAGGAUGCUGGCGUAAUGGCUGUAAGCGGCCCGUCUUGAAACACGGACCAAGGAGUCUAACAUCUAUGCGAGUGUUUGGGUGUCAAGCCCGAGCGCGUAAUGAAAGUGAACGGAGGUGGGAACCUUUCGGGGUGCACCAUCGACCGAUCCUGAUGUCUUCGGAUGGAUUUGAGUAAGAGCAUAGCUGUUGGGACCCGAAAGAUGGUGAACUAUGCUUGAAUAGGGUGGAGCCAGAGGAAACUCUGGUGGAGGCUCGCAGCGGUUCUGACGUGCAAAUCGAUCGUCAAAUUUGGGCAUAGGGGCGAAAGACUAAUCGAACUAUCUAGUA
Molecule: ribosomal RNA, 908 nt
Filed under: Boeremia exigua var. exigua
Lineage: Eukaryota; Fungi; Ascomycota; Dothideomycetes; Pleosporales; Didymellaceae
Description: LSU rRNA
Rfam family: Eukaryotic large subunit ribosomal RNA
Source: RNAcentral